UUUUGUGGUAUUUUCAUUGGUAUUUUGUGGUAUUUUAGCCACUUAAAAUGCAAAUAUUAAUUAUUAAUUAUAUUUAUUAUAUUAAUUAUAUUUUGUUGAGUAUGUCCAUCUAUUAAAUGUAUUAACAUAAAUAUCAAAAGAUGAAAUAAUGAUAGCUAACGUUUACUGACAGGCAGUUUUCUGCACGGCAUGUGGAAGUUCCCAGGCUAGAGGUUGAAUGGCAGCUGCAUCUGCACCUACACCACAGCUCUCAGCACCGCCGGUUCCUUAACCCACUGAGCGAAGCCAGGGGUCAAACCUGCAUCCUCAUGGAAACUGCUGAGCCACAAUAGGAACUUCUUAAGUGCUGUGCUUGUAUCAACACAUUUAGUCCUCACCACGGUCCUCUGAGUUGCUGUUCUUAUCUUCAUUUUGCAGAUGAAGAUGUGAGAUGCAGCAGAGCGCUUAACACCUUACGUGGGGUCGCAGUGCUGCCGAGUAUGGGUCACACUCCUGAGUCUGUCCUUAGCCUCUGUCGCGCCAGCCCUGAGGAGGUGAUGGGGGGAGCAGGGCAAGCCGAAAAGCACCAGGGAGAGGGCGGCCCCAAGGAUCCCUGGGAAGCGCACACUGGCUCAAAAAAAGGACUGGAGCCCAGGGUUUUAGGCCACUUGGAACAGCAAUAUCCCGAUUCUCUACUGGUGUAAAUAAUCCUCUUUGUUACUGUGAUGGACGUAGCAGUAGCCCUGGUGACUGCAGACAUACUGGGACACAGGUGGCCCAGAGGUGGAGCCACUUAUCUGAGGAUAUGGCUGGAGGCCCUGACUCCUGCUCAGGUGUCUGGUGGGAAGAGGCCUUAUUGAGGGCUGAGGGGCCUGCAGGGAGCCCCUCCCCGUCUCGGGCUCAGUUCCUCACCUGUACACAAUGCUUCUUGUCCUUGGAGCAUUUUCUCUACUUGCAGGGCUUUGUUCAUGCUCCCAUCUGAUUGGGGAGGCUCAGAGAGGCCAAGUGACAACGGGAGCCAGGGUCGGAGCCCACGUCUUCCGUGGAAGGAGUUUCGGACAAUGAUGGUACAUGUGUUUUUAAAUCUCCUGGGCCACCAGGCAGUGCAGUAAACACGCCCAAUAAAGACAGUGCAACGAAUCCUGUAUAGUUUUACAAGGUCUGGGAAGGUUGGCUUAAGAACUCCUCCUCUCCCUUCCCAUUCUCAGUCCCCAGCUGCCUCUGAGAGAGGCCCCACCAUCCUUCCCAGGGUUGGGGAGCUUUCAUUCCCCCUUUACAGUUUGUUCCACAAACACUGAGCUGUUCAUUUAACAGAAAUACAUUCAGCAUCUGCACCGCACAUUGUGUAGGUACUUGAGAUGCAACCAACGACAAAGCAGAGGGUCCCUGUGGACGUGGAGGCUGGAGUCCCGUAAGGGACACGGUUGGUGCGGUGUGCGGUGCUGUGCUGGUGGGAGAGGGAGAGAAACACAUGCCCCCAAAUAGAGGGGGACAAGCUCACAGAGACCUGAGGCAAAGGGGUGAAGUCACACAAAGCAGGAGAUACAGAGGCUGAGAGAGACGCACAGAGACAGAAACGGGAGAGAGAAGCACCAUGAGCGGGACACACUCCCAGAUGCACACGCAGCCAGGCGAGAUGCCAUUCAUAUGGAAACAGAGAAGCAGAGAGCCAGACGGAGCCACCGUCAUUUCUUAAAGUGGCUGAAGACUGGUCUGUGUAGAGCUUCAGAUCUGAAGCUUCGGAGGCUGGAGAUGCAGGGUCAAAUCUGGCUUUGCUCAGGUGGUCGUGUGGCCUUAAGUCAGUCUCUGCCCCUCAAUAUCAGCACCCUCAACUAUGACAUUUAUGGAUGGUAAAUUUUGUGAGCUUAUGCAGAAGAUGACCUGGGAAGGUCCUAAGGCGUUGAAGGCAGCCAUCAGAGACACCAGAGAAGCUGGGGCUGGCAGAGCAGCCUCUGGAUGCAGAACCCUGGUCAGUGACAGCUCAAAGAACAUCCUGACUGUAUGUGGGUCACCACCAGCCAGGAGUGUAGACAGAGGAGGACAGACCCGAGAAAGGCAAGCCGCCCGCGCAGGUCUUGUCUGGACUGGGGGUGUACCCGGAGCUCCGUCUCUGAAGGAGGUCCCUGAGGGAAGCAGAGCAGACGGGGCCUGGCUUUACUCCGCAGCCACGUGGCUUCCUCCUAUGUGGCUUCCUUCUCUUUGGCUGUGUUGAAGUCCCUUGCCCCCUCCUUUCCUCCGGGUGGGGAGGAGCUUGACUCAGGAGUUUUCCUGCUGCAGGGCCGGGGCAUCUUCCUGGCUUCUGCCUCCUGACUCCAGAGGUGUGAGGUUUAGUCAGCACCUGCGUGGCUCGCUUUAUUACCAAGGGCUAUGGAAGUGGUCUCAGUAGAGUCUCAGAACAGCCCAACGAGGUAGCCAAGGCAGGUGUUCUGUGGGGCAUGUGAAACUGCAUGGCACCCACACACAGUAGGUAAUUUACUAGUGGUAGCGAUUACUCUCAUCUUUUCUUUAUGCAGAUGGGGAAACCGAAGCUAGAAACAGGUGAAGCGACUCACUGAAAUGCCCAGAGUCAGUAAGUGCUUGGACUUUAUUACCCAAGAUUGUGUUUGCUUCCAUGUGACAGACAUGGAGUGUCCACAGUGGCUUUAACCAAAGAAGGACGUUUUUUGCCCAAGUAACCACAAGUCCAGAGGUAGGCAUCCCAAGGCUGGCACAGCAGUCCCAUGUUGUCACUGGGAUCCAAAGUCCUCUCUCUUUCUGCUCUUCCAUCCUUAGCGGUUGCAAGAUAGAGGCUCCGUGGCUGUUGGCACAUUUGCAGAAGGCAUGAAAAGAAGGGAGGGGGAGGUUGAAGGAGCAGUGCCUAUACCAGGAAAGUUAAACCUUUCCAGAAUCCCCUCAUAGAAUUCCUUGUAGUGCCUCUGGCUGCAAGGGAGUCAGGGGAGGGGAAUACUUUGAAUUGGGCACAUUGCUGCUCCCAACGAAUUCUGAGUUCUGCCUGGGAAUUAGAAGAGGAGAAUGGACAUUGGGUAGGUAAUUAGCAAUGUUGGCCACACUCAAAGCUCCCAUUAGCUUCCUGACUCUAAGAGCCAGGUGGCUGCCUCCAGUUGUCAGCCUUCUUGGAUCCAAAGUCUGCAUCCUUUUGGUCCAGAGUCUAGCAUCUAUCCCUGUAGUUAUUUUGACUGGACCCUGGCCACAUGCAGGGCACCUUGUCAGUGAGGGAAAUGGAUGCUCUCUGGGUGCUUGGUGUCUGCUGAGGGGGUGCAGAGUGGGGCCCCAGGCAGGGCUGGACGGGAAGCCUCCCUCUCCAGCCUCACUCAGCCGUCCUCUUUGCUCUGUUGGCCCGAGGGAUGGAUGUCCCUCUUUCAGGAUGAAUGAGACUUUCUAAGCACUGGGGACCUUUAGGAGCCUGUCGCUGAGACUUUAGGGACAGCUCCUCUAUCGGCUGUCUGGUGUGUGGAUGUCUUCCUGAAGCUCUGAUGGAGGAGGCCUGUCAGCUACGCAAUCUGUGACCUUAUCUCAGGAAUGACCCGUGUGUGCAGCCCCAUAAAUCUUCCUGCGCCGCGACCUGGGAGGUGGCGUGGGUGAGAUUUGGUGUCGGCUUCUUGGAGGCGUCCUCCCCGGCUCCCUCAUCCUCCUGUUCUCCAGAGCGUCCUCACGUUCAGUGCUGCCCCUGAGCUGUGCUGAGCGGAGGGAGGUCAAGAAACUGAUGUGCACGGGGAAGGCUGUCCAGGGCCACCUGGGCCUGUCCUCGCCAAGUCAGGCCCCUGUUCCAGCCCCGGCCAGGCUGAGGGUGGGCCCCACGUAUCCGAGCUGGAGAGGCCUGAGCGUCCCCGAGCCUGGUGGGGUGUGUGCCCUGUGGAGAGGGCUGCAGGAGAACCACAGGGUCUAGACGCAAAGUGUGGUUUGAUGACAUAGCACAAAGGUCCAGAGCUCGGCGCUGAGGUGUGGGUUUAAACCCAUGCCCGCGAAUUGCUACCGGGGGGACCCUGCUAAUAAAUCCAGGCCCUCUCAGGGAGAGGUCAAGGACGGACAGGAGAGCACAACCCUGUCAUGAGGGAGGUGGAAUUCUUGGGAGCCAAUAGACCCCUCGGGGACCUUCCUCCGGUUCUGGGCCUCAUCUCCACCUCCAAGCUGCAGCCUGGGUCUGAGGAGGGAGGAUUUCGGGGGAAAGGUGAGGCUACAGAGGGCAUUCCAAAUGUAUUUUUCGGGCACAGAUCCAUCAUUUUAAUGUACCCCGGCCUCCUAUUUGAAUGAUAAAUUAAGGAAUGGUCUGUCCUGGUGCCUGAGACUUCUGCAGAGCCCUGAUAAGGCAGCCCGUAAAACCUUCUCCAGGCAGCCAGAGGAGGCUUUCUGCAUGUCUCAGAAAGGGUGGUUUGAUUUCUAGCAGCUUCUAGGGCAAACUGUUUUUGCCCGGACCUGGGAACAUGCUAGGCACCAGAGUCCUGUGACUGCAGGAUGGCUGGCCCUGGGGUUGAGGCCUGAGUGGAGACCGUGGGAUGAGUAAGAAAACUACACUCUGCCGUGGUGCUGCCUACACAACACAGGGUGCCUGGGUGGGCUCCAGACUCUGGCGUGGCCUCCACCUAUUGGCCCGCAGGAUCCUGUGCACCCUGAACCCUGGGCAGGAGCUUUGCUUCCCUUUCCGAGACAGUGCCUAGUCAGUCACUGCAUCCCCUGGGCUGCUUCAGUUCUUUGUAUGUAUUCAACACGUAUUCAUUCAAUGCACGUUUAUAGAGCACUUCCUGGAUGUCAGACUCAACACCACCUCUACAGAUGGGAAUAAAUGAGAGGGUCCCUUCCCUGUGGGGUUCAUGUCAGGUAUGCAGACAAGAAAGAAGGACUGCAAGCAGUGUGGUAACUGUAAGGAUGGGGUGAGCAGAGGGGCCUGUGGGUGCACAGAGAAGGGUCAGGGAGACAUCCUGGUGGAAGUGAUGGUGAGCUAGGUUCUGCUUUGAAUGGGUGACUGGUGAUAGUCCGGUGAAGGGACAGAUGGGGCAUGGGGGGAGGCAGAAGGAAUAGCGAGUGUGGAGCCCAGAGGCCACAGAGUGGUGGUCUUGAGAAAGUACCAGUACUUCAGUAUGGCUGGACAUAGUGUGUGAGGGGACUGCGCAGGAUGAGCCUGGAGAGGCAGGUGGGAACCACAGCGUGUGAGGGGGCUGCACAGGAUGAGCCUGGAGAGGCAGGUGGGAACCACAGCGUGUGAGGGGACUGCGCAGGAUGAGCCUGGAGAGCAGGUAGGAGCCACGUCGCAAGAGGACCUGACACUGUGGGGCGGGGGUAAUUCUUUCCCUUGAGGUCAUUGGGAAACAUCAGAAGUGCCCAAGGUUAGGUGCUGAGAUGUCCACACAGAAUGUCAUUGGCAAGUGCUCUCACCCCCACAAAGGAGAGAAGAGGCAAAGGGAAUGACCUCUAAUGCAUGUGCAACAGUGGCCUCAGCCAGUCACCUGGGGAGCUCUGGAGCUGGGAUGGCCUUUUAGGACUGACCUGAGUCAACACAAGGCAACUGACUACCUUUUGUAUCUUU
This 5500-nucleotide long non-coding RNA is filed under the name Sus scrofa (pig). Its description in RNAcentral is "lncRNA (ENSSSCG00000055273.1)". Lineage: Eukaryota; Metazoa; Chordata; Mammalia; Artiodactyla; Suidae. The record is from RNAcentral.